GACGAACGCUGGCGGCGCGCCUAACACAUGCAAGUCGAACGGAGCUGAGAGGAGCUUGCUUUUCUUAGCUUAGUGGCGAACGGGUGAGUAACGCGUGAGUAACCUGCCCUGGAGUGGGGGACAACAGUUGGAAACGACUGCUAAUACCGCAUAAGCCCACGAAGCCGCAUGGCUUUGCGGGAAAAGGAUUUAUUCGCUUCAAGAUGGACUCGCGUCCAAUUAGCUAGUUGGUGAGGUAACGGCCCACCAAGGCGACGAUUGGUAGCCGGACUGAGAGGUUGAACGGCCACAUUGGGACUGAGACACGGCCCAGACUCCUACGGGAGGCAGCAGUGGGGGAUAUUGCACAAUGGGGGAAACCCUGAUGCAGCGACGCCGCGUGGAGGAAGAAGGUUUUCGGAUUGUAAACUCCUGUCGUUAGGGACGAUAAUGACGGUACCUAACAAGAAAGCACCGGCUAACUACGUGCCAGCAGCCGCCGUAA
This 484-nucleotide ribosomal RNA is filed under the name uncultured bacterium. Its description in RNAcentral is "partial 16S ribosomal RNA". It matches the Rfam family "Bacterial small subunit ribosomal RNA", at positions 28 to 523 of the family's 1533-position model. The record is from RNAcentral.